AUUGAACGCUGGCGGCAUGCCUUACACAUGCAAGUCGAACGGCAGCGCGGACUUCGGUCUGGCGGCGAGUGGCGAACGGGUGAGUAAUACAUCGGAACGUACCCUGUUGUGGGGGAUAACUAGUCGAAAGAUUAGCUAAUACCGCAUACGACCUGAGGGUGAAAGUGGGGGAUCGCAAGGCCUCACGCAGCAGGAGCGGCCGAUGUCUGAUUAGCUAGUUGGUGGGGUAAAGGCCCACCAGGGCGACGAUCAGUAGCUGGUCUGAGAGGACGAUCAGCCACACUGGGACUGAGACACGGCCCAGACUCCUACGGGAGGCAGCAGUGGGGAAUUUUGGACAAUGGGGGCAACCCUGAUCCAGCAAUGCCGCGUGUGUGAAGAAGGCCUUCGGGUUGUAAAGCACUUUUGUCCGGAAAGAAAUCGCGCUGGUUAAUACCUGGCGUGGAUGACGGUACCGGAAGAAUAAGCACCGGCUAACUACGUG
This 484-nucleotide ribosomal RNA is filed under the name uncultured bacterium. RNAcentral's name for it is "partial 16S ribosomal RNA". It matches the Rfam family "Bacterial small subunit ribosomal RNA", at positions 30 to 507 of the family's 1533-position model. The record is from RNAcentral.